Molecule: long non-coding RNA, 845 nt
Filed under: Prunus dulcis (almond)
Lineage: Eukaryota; Viridiplantae; Streptophyta; Magnoliopsida; Rosales; Rosaceae
Description: sRNA ncRNA
Source: RNAcentral
GAAAUGUGAAGCUUCUCUCUCCGAUUUCGCUGCUGCUCCUCUCUCUUUCAUAAGGAUCAAAUAUGGGUCCAUUCCAUGAAAUCAAUUCUAGCGCUCAAUCGUCUACUGGUAAUUUUUAUAAUCAAUUUUCUAACUUUAUUAGCAAAUUACAUCUUGGAAUUGAAAUUGAGAUUUGAGAAAUUCAUGAGUUAUGUGCUGUUAUGGAUUGUGGUGUGUAAAACAGGGAUUGAAACUUGCUCCCUCUGAUACAUGAAAUCAUGAAAUUAGAAGCUGGGUUCGAUGAAGUUGAUUGGCUUUGGAUUCCCAGACAUCUAAAUCACGGUGCCCAUGUAGCGGCAGGGAUUGAUUUGAGGACGGUGGAGCUGCAAAAGUUGAGCUGGGGUGGGGAACAUGUUGUUGGGCUUGUGUUUUCGGCUUUAGCUUGAUUCCUUCCUAGUGUUUUUUUUUUCCUUUCUAUUUUUUUCUUUUCCUUCUACACUCGUUGGUUGUUUUUCUCCCACCGCAUUUUUUAGGCUUUCUUGAUCUCAACCAAAAAUAAAAGGCGAUAUUUAUAGAUGCGAUGAAAUGCAAAGAUGGAGAAAGCUUCAAAGUAUUUUGAUAUGUGAUUUUGGAAUGCAAUUACCAAAAUAUAGUUAGCUAUAACUAUUGUUUUAUUUGGCUUGUAUAUUUUCAUGUUUACAGGACUUCCCAACACAUUGAACAUGAAACUUCACUGCAAUCAAUGGUACCAUGCAUAUGAAGAGUCCUAAUUUACAUGACUUCUAUAUCUUCUACAUGGGAAAGGGACUUACUCUUCUUCUUGUGCUUCUUAAUUUCAAAUUGGUUUUGAUUAUGUUUUUUAGUUA